AACCAAACCCUUGUCAACUUUGAUACCAGGAACAAUGUUUUGCUCAAUAAGAACAUCAACUAUUUUGCGUCCAUCCACGGUAGACUGGUAGAGGGUCUCCUCAAAAAGAAUAGCACCAGAGAUGUACUGUCCAAGGCCAGGAGCUGACACCAGCAAGGUACGGUACGCUUGGCGGUUAGCCUCAGUGUUUUCCAAACCAAUGGAAGCCAAACGCUUUCCACAAGUGGCAUUCGACUCAUCCAUGGCUAAAAUUCCACGGCCUGGUGAUGCAACAGUUUUAGCGGUUUUAAUGAGCUCAUCAGCAUAAGAGGAAGCUGCGCGGACAGUAAGAGAAGUAGCAUUGGUGGGAUGACAACGGACCACUGAGACAGAAGGCUGACGAAGGCUUUGCCCCUUUAAAAACUCAGAUUUGUCAAGAACUGGGGAUGACUUUAGUAGAGAUGCUGAGGCCAUUUUCUUUUUCUUUACUUCAAAUUUUUUCCUCUCUACAAGAAAUCUCCUUAUCUCUCAG
This 511-nucleotide unclassified non-coding RNA is filed under the name Hevea brasiliensis (rubber tree). The record is from RNAcentral. Lineage: Eukaryota; Viridiplantae; Streptophyta; Magnoliopsida; Malpighiales; Euphorbiaceae.